AUGACAAGGACAAAUCACUAGCGAACACAGACCUGAUUUCUCAUGUGCUGCCUACGCCUCCAUCCCGGGCCCCAUCGAUAUGGAUCGGUUGCACCUGCGAUUUGGAGAGUUAGCGGAGUAGGCACUGCCUUCGAGUCGAGACAACGAUUUGACGGGGACAAUGAUGGAUGAGGACGAAACGGAAAGGGUGGCAACGGCGCGCCGGAGAGCCCGGAGGGAUGAAUCACCCAGAGCAUAUCCGCUCCGGACUACUCGAUAUAUGCUCAGUGAUGCCAAGUCCAGUGUCGCAACGCUAGGCUAAAUAAAUAAGAAGCUAGUGCUGUUUCCCUGAAAGAAAAGAAAAAAAAAAAGCUAGUGCUGUCCGCUUUCUUUUCGGAGGGGAGAUAGAUCGGAUAACAUAAAGAAACGCACCUGCUGUGGUGUAAAGGGGGGG
This 433-nucleotide long non-coding RNA is filed under the name Brachypodium distachyon (stiff brome). RNAcentral's name for it is "long non-coding RNA (BDIS_LNC001691)". The record is from RNAcentral. Lineage: Eukaryota; Viridiplantae; Streptophyta; Magnoliopsida; Poales; Poaceae.